This is a non-coding RNA of Paramuricea clavata, 560 nucleotides long. NCBI's taxonomy places the organism in Eukaryota, Metazoa, Cnidaria, Anthozoa, Malacalcyonacea, Plexauridae. The record is from the annotation of a GenBank genome assembly.
GUUCCUUCAUGGCUUGUUGUAUGUUAUAGAAAGGAAAUAAACAAGAGUAUUUUUAUUUAGACAUGGAUUUGGCAGUUAAAAUUGUCGAGUGUCAGACAAUAGCUGAAUUAUCAACUUUGGAAAGGCUAUAUUUGUUGAAUGAAGUGGAACAACGCAUUCUUUUCGAGAGGAAAUUGGAAAUUUUUCGUCGAAUAACGGAAUGGAGAGUAGAAAAUGAGCAGCUAGGGCUUACGGCUGACUUUACGGACACCUGGACACCGGAACAACGUGAAAGAUUCAUACGUGAAUGGCAAAACGAUGACCCCCUGUUGCAAAUGGGCCGUGGCGAGAAAAGAUCCAUAGACGAAGUGAAUGACAGUGCAACUGACGAGGUUAGCGAUAACUUUUUUACCGUGACAAAUAUGAAACAAGUUAAAGUGAAAAAAUUCAGCACGACAGGUGUGGAUUAUACAGUACAAUUCACGGACACGUUUGCUCAUUUGGAGCUUUCUCAGUUCCACGACCGUCUGCAUGGAAUAUUUGAAAGUAUGUUGAAUACCAUUACACGAGAUAUUCCAGAG